UUCCUACGGGACGCAGCAGUGAGGAAUAUUGGUCAAUGGGCGGAAGCCUGAACCAGCCAAGUCGCGUGAGGGAAUAAGGCCCUACGGGUCGUAAACCUCUUUUGCCGGGGAGCAAGGGCGGGGACGUGUCCCGGCCCGGAGAGUACCCGGAGAAAAAGCAUCGGCUAACUCCGUGCCAGCAGCCGCGGUAAUACGGAGGAUGGGAGGGUUAUCCGGAUUUUUUGGGUUUAAAGGGUGGGUAGGCGGGGUUUUAAGUUAGUGGUAAAAAUUUGGGGUUAA
Molecule: ribosomal RNA, 279 nt
Filed under: uncultured bacterium
Lineage: Bacteria
Description: partial 16S ribosomal RNA
Rfam family: Bacterial small subunit ribosomal RNA
Source: RNAcentral